Jaculus jaculus (lesser Egyptian jerboa) is the source of this 1259-nucleotide long non-coding RNA. RefSeq lists it as uncharacterized. The record is from RefSeq and is a predicted model, not a curated record. NCBI's taxonomy places the organism in Eukaryota, Metazoa, Chordata, Mammalia, Rodentia, Dipodidae. The transcript has 4 exons.
GGUCACAGGGUCACUGUAGGAGGCCAAGAGCCCUUCAGAAGUACAUUAGAAAAAGCUGCUCCCAAGGGAGCCGGGCUCCGGAGGAAUGUGUUUGUUGUGACAGACAAAGGCUAUGUGGGAGCCAAGGAUGCAUACUUCAACGGUUCACCCCAAGAGUGGGCGAAGAAACAGGACGAGAGACCGUGUGAGCUCUGGGCUCGGCACUGGGAAAUCUUCAGGAAAAGGUGAAAGAGUUACACGAUCUGAAGACAAACCAGGCCAUAACCCUCCUCACUCUACGUGUGGUCUAAGUCCUGCGGGUCGGGGCAAGUGGCGCCCAACGUGGGGCUCGAGGCACGGGUGAACGCCGGACAAGCAGCAAAUCAUCCCGCCGGGACGCCGGGGGACCACCUUCAUCGGCCACCUGACUCAUCACUUGUGGGAUCGGCUGCCGCGGUACGAUAAUGAUUCCUCUGCCCUUCCUGAUAUUCCUGAUGUUCCUGCACAUGGCACUGACGACUUCCAACCAUCAGCUGUUUAACUAUACUUGGUCCAUAAUAAAUGGAGCCGGAGAUACAGUUAACUCCACAAGUUAUGUGGGGUUAGACCCAAAUUGGCCAGACCUUUAUGUUGAUCUUUGCCAGCUAGCCCUUGGAGGGGACCCAGAUUGGGGCACCCCGGAUCUCUUUUGGCCUCAGCAACAGGCCCCUGAGUUAACUGAUUCCCUUACAGAGGGCGGAUGUAGUAAUUCUCUCCGUAGGGCUACCUUAGCACUCUCCUCCUAUGGCUUCUAUAUUUGCCCUGGGGAUCACAGGAAGAGAGAAACAGCCCGCUCCUAUGGUUAUCAGUCAGAUUUCUUUUGUGCCAGAUGGGGCUGUGAAACAGCUGGGGAUACUUAUUGGAAGCCCUCCUCUAGCUGGGAUUACAUAACACUCCAUCGUACACAUCCCAGAAAACAGGUCUACUCAAACACAGACCCCAAACCCUUAAAUACCCUCUGUGCUUCAGAGUCACAACGAAAGGGUUGGUGUAACCCCUUAAAAAUCUCCUUCACUGCCAAAGGAAAAGAGGCUUCCUGGAUCACCGCCCUUCAAGGCUAUGAAUGGGGUCUUAGAUGGUAUAAGGAGGGGAAAGAUUUUGGGUUAACUUUUAAAAUAAAGUUAACUAAAACCUUACCCAAUCCCCAAGGUGUGCCCCAGGCUGUCACUGUCAAAUAAAUAAAGAAAAUAAAAAAAAACAGAUCUUACUGCAGGACUCGCCACCUUCAAUGUACAAAUGAA